Molecule: long non-coding RNA, 1402 nt
Organism: Passer domesticus (house sparrow)
Lineage: Eukaryota; Metazoa; Chordata; Aves; Passeriformes; Passeridae
Exons: 5
Source: RefSeq, a predicted model, not a curated record
AGACUGCCAGCAUACCAGGCUGGAUUCUGUGGCCUGGAGAUGUAGCUAGAGGCCCCAGUAAAUUCCCUGUCUGUACUGGUAUUUGCUCUGUGACUGCCCAAGCACCCCUGAUCCCUUCUGCAUGGGGAGCAGAGUGUUUGUGCUGCUGCAGAACCCAGCUCUGCCCUGUCUGAGCGCUGGGAAGGCGCCCCAGCCCUCCAGCAGGCCCCGAGCCCAGAUCCCAGAGCACUCCAGGGAUCCUGCUGUUCACAUUCAUCCUCUUGAUCAGGAACCAGCAGAACCUUCUACAAACAUCCUGCCACAUCAGCUCCUCUGUUCCUCCCAUUACUCUGAAUUUCAGGAUAAAGAGAGGCCAGGUAACAUUUAGGUCCAAAAGAGUGAGAGAGACCAAGCUGCAGAGCUUCAAGUUGUUGGAUUUCUACUUAAAUGGAAGAAUGAUCACUAAAUAACUUGAACAAAGCCCUGGGAUAGGUUUUUGGAGAAGACGUGGAGCAAAAGCAGCUGGUGAUGGAAACUCUGAGGCAACCCUGUCCUAUCCCCACUGCCUGGAAAGUGUCCCCCAUGGUACAAUCCCAGCCUUCCUGGCUUCACUUUGCUUCUGGAAAGUGCAGUGGAUGUGGUGGUGCUGCAACACGAAUACUCAGUCCUUCUGGAAAUAUUGCAGCUCUUGUGAAUGCCUUCAGGGAGCAAAUAUUGCUGUGCAACCACUGCUGGGCUAUUUCAGCAUCUAUAACCCACUUGGGAAGGAAAACAGAUCUGUGAACACAGAGCCCUUUGUUCAUACAAAAAGAAGCCCUGGAGACCUGUGAAUAUCAGUCCUUUGGAGAAGGAACAACAACAAAAUCAAAUCAACACUUGUGCUGGAGCAAGUACCCAGUGUGUGGUUGAAGCAUCUCCACCUCUCUGAGGAUGACCCCCAAAGAUCCCACAAGCUACAGCAGCAGGACAAGUCAGAGUCCUUUGCCUUUGUGACAUAUUAUGCAUUGAAACAAUACUUCCUCUGGAAAGGUCGUGGCACUGAGUCGUGCAACAAGCCUUAUCAACAAUUCCAGGAGCUAUGCAGGGUUUUCUGCCAGAAAGCUGACUUUUCUCCUGGCUGAGGCUCGAGGGCCCAUCAGUGCUGAAACAUCGCUGGAAUGUUCUGUCCUGCAGACACAGGGGAACAGAAACCUCUCUGGAGGAGGAAACACUAGCCUUAGAGCUACAGGCUUUGUUUCUGUACCUGUCACAGUUAUUUAUUAUUUCAGGCAACUUCUGAAUUUAUAUAGUGCUCCUGAAAAGUGGUGCUGAGCCCUGAAUAAGUAGAUGAAUGGAUUCUCAGCACCUCAGUGUUCGUUUUGGCCAGAAAAUGGAAAGCACUGUGAUGGAACAGGAGGUACAGCAUCUGAAGUUACUGGGUCAU